GGUUAAGCGACUAAGCGUACACGGUGGAUGCCCUGGCAGUCAGAGGCGAUGAAGGACGUGCUAAUCUGCGAAAAGCGUCGGUAAGGUGAUAUGAACCGUUAUAACCGGCGAUGUCCGAAUGGGGAAACCCAGUGCAAUUCGUUGCACUAUCGUUAACUGAAUACAUAGGUUAACGAGGCGAACCGGGGGAACUGAAACAUCUAAGUACCCCGAGGAAAAGAAAUCAACCGAGAUUCCCCCAGUAGCGGCGAGCGAACGGGGAGCAGCCCAGAGUCUGAAUCAGCUUGUGUGUUAGUGGAACGGUCUGGAAAGUCCGACGGUACAGGGUGAUAGUCCCGUACACCAAAAUGCACAGGUUGUGAACUCGAAGAGUAGGGCGGGACACGUGGUAUCCUGUCUGAAUAUGGGGGGACCAUCCUCCAAGGCUAAAUACUCCUGACUGACCGAUAGUGAACCAGUACCGUGAGGGAAAGGCGAAAAGAACCCCGGCGAGGGGAGUGAAAAAGAACCUGAAACCGUGUACGUACAAGCAGUGGGAGCACCUUCGGGUGUGACUGCGUACCUUUUGUAUAAUGGGUCAGCGACUUAUAUUCUGUAGCAAGGUUAACCGUAUAGGGGAGCCGCAGGGAAACCGAGUCUUAACUGGGCGUUAAGUUGCAGGGUAUAGACCCGAAACCCGGUGAUCUAGCCAUGGGCAGGUUGAAGGUUGGGUAACACUAACUGGAGGACCGAACCGACUAAUGUUGAAAAAUUAGCGGAUGACUUGUGGCUGGGGGUGAAAGGCCAAUCAAACCGGGAGAUAGCUGGUUCUCCCCGAAAGCUAUUUAGGUAGCGCCUCGUGAAUUCAUCUUCGGGGGUAGAGCACUGUUUCGGCUAGGGGGUCAUCCCGACUUACCAACCCGAUGCAAACUACGAAUACCGAAGAAUGUUAUCACGGGAGACACACGGCGGGUGCUAACGUCCGUCGUGAAGAGGGAAACAACCCAGACCGCCAGCUAAGGUCCCAAAGUCAUGGUUAAGUGGGAAACGAUGUGGGAAGGCACAGACAGCCAGGAUGUUGGCUUAGAAGCAGCCAUCAUUUAAAGAAAGCGUAAUAGCUCACUGGUCGAGUCGGCCUGCGCGGAAGAUGUAACGGGGCUAAACCAUGCACCGAAGCUGCGGCAGCGACACUAUGUGUUGUUGGGUAGGGGAGCGUUCUGUAAGCCUGCGAAGGUGACCUGUGAGGGUUGCUGGAGGUAUCAGAAGUGCGAAUGCUGACAUAAGUAACGAUAAAGCGGGUGAAAAGCCCGCUCGCCGGAAGACCAAGGGUUCCUGUCCAACGUUAAUCGGGGCAGGGUGAGUCGACCCCUAAGGCGAGGCCGAAAGGCGUAGUCGAUGGGAAACAGGUUAAUAUUCCUGUACUUGGUGUUACUGCGAAGGGGGGACGGAGAAGGCUAUGUUAGCCGGGCGACGGUUGUCCCGGUUUAAGCAUGUAGGCUGGUUGUCCAGGCAAAUCCGGAUAAUCAAGGCUGAGGUGUGAUGACGAGGCACUACGGUGCUGAAGUAACAAAUGCCCUGCUUCCAGGAAAAGCCUCUAAGCAUCAGGUAACAUUAAAUCGUACCCCAAACCGACACAGGUGGUCAGGUAGAGAAUACCAAGGCGCUUGAGAGAACUCGGGUGAAGGAACUAGGCAAAAUGGUGCCGUAACUUCGGGAGAAGGCACGCUGGUGUGUAGGUGAAGUCCCUGCGGAUGGAGCUGAGACCAGUCGAAGAUACCAGCUGGCUGCAACUGUUUAUUAAAAACACAGCAC
This 1791-nucleotide ribosomal RNA is filed under the name Klebsiella pneumoniae. RNAcentral describes it as "partial 23S ribosomal RNA". It matches the Rfam family "Bacterial large subunit ribosomal RNA", at positions 1 to 1821 of the family's 2925-position model. Lineage: Bacteria; Pseudomonadati; Pseudomonadota; Gammaproteobacteria; Enterobacterales; Enterobacteriaceae. The record is from RNAcentral.